This 83-nucleotide microRNA precursor is filed under the name Cajanus cajan (pigeon pea). RNAcentral describes it as "miRNA gene-KK1_046375". The record is from RNAcentral. Lineage: Eukaryota; Viridiplantae; Streptophyta; Magnoliopsida; Fabales; Fabaceae.
ACUUUUAAAAUCAGCUAUUUCAGAACCGAUUUUGUAUGUAGUAUAUAUACAAAAUCGGUUCUUAAACAACCAAUUUUAAAAGU